RNAcentral lists this ribosomal RNA (2877 nucleotides) under Triticum aestivum (bread wheat). Its description in RNAcentral is "partial small subunit ribosomal RNA". The record is from RNAcentral. Lineage: Eukaryota; Viridiplantae; Streptophyta; Magnoliopsida; Poales; Poaceae.
CACCCGCUAUCGCAAAGGCUUUUUCUUUGCGCACGCUAGGCCUAGGGGAGGAGGGACCAAGCAGUCUCCUUGGGUCAGAUUUGCGCCGCCGCGGGAGGAGCAACGGCCUCGUCCCGCUCCGCCGCGAGCUGGAGGCGGAGGAUGGGGGUGGAGGUGACGACCCGAGGCGGGGCCCCGAGGAGAAGACGCAGGGCUCGGGACUGGUCACGGUAUGUCCGGUGAGUUGGUUUUGCUCCAGUCUAAAGAGUUAAAGGUGAGCCUUUAGGCUUGGCACCAGUAGAGGCAGCGGCGGCGGACGGCGGACGGCGGCGGUAGCGGUACCGAAGGCGAGAUGCCCGGGAAGUGGUGGCGGAGGGGGCGAGAGAGGUGGUGAGGUUAGGGGAAAGGUGGAGGCGGAGUGGAGUGCUGGAGGCGCUCGAGGAGGCGUAGGUUGCGUAGGAGCCACUGGGGCGUCGUUGGUGGGUCGGGUGCGUUUGCGUUGUUGCGGGUGCUCGGCGGCGGUGGCGUCUGGACGUGGCUGAAGAGGUGGCGCGCCGGCCGGAGUGGUGGCGGCUCCGGUGGAGGGACGAGCCGGCGUAGGGAUUGUGGGUGGCAGACCUUGUGGAAGAGGUUCUUGAAGCACCGGACGCGGAGGGCCGCCCGCUCUAGUCCUUUCGAGAGCCCAGGCUGGGGCUGCCUGAGGAGAGGUACCUCGGCCCGCUCGGCAGGGCGGAACAGCUCGAGGAUCUGCUCGAGGCGACGGCCCGCGGGUAGUUCCUGGUCCAGGAGAGAGUGCCGCACGAGUCGCGGCGUUAGCGGCGCUCCGCCGCCCAUCUCGAGGACGUGCUCGCGCCCGACUCGGCCGCACUGCGCGACUCCCACUAGAGGCAACUCGGAGCCCGUUAAAAUAUAUCGGACCUGCUACACCUCUCCUUCCACCUCAAGAACCACCCGUCCUACCCCAAACUCUAACCAACCGACCACCUCAUGGGUCUCAAGAACCCCUAUUUAGAGCUGUCCAGCUAGUAGGGUGCCGUGUUACAUCACCUCAUAAACCGCAGCCACCCACCCGAACCCCUGGGGUAACUCUACUUCGUAAUACACUCUAAGUCGGCGGAGUUCAAGAUGUUAGACAAGCACUUCGGUAUGGGCCUCACGCUCUCCUAAAAGCCCCCGGAUCAGUCCCUCUUUUUCCUACUCCACUCCGCCGUCGUAGGCCACCCCAACACCUUCGACAAAUUUGGCCGCUUCAUACUCUAGUGACUCCUCUUACACUUCCUGUACUUCAACCAACAACUUAGUGAAGUAAUCGAGACAAGUCUUGUGGUUGACGAUGGCUAAAACUUAACCCGACGAGUACUAAGACCCCUAUAAACACCACCAUUGUUACACCAAGCAUAACACUUUCGCAUACAAACUUAACGUCACGUAAGACGGUCGUUUUACAGUAGACACGACUAGUUUGUACCUUGGCUAACCUUAGACGUUCUAUUCAUUUAGCUCGGGAUCCGAGGAUCGAAUUCCAACUCCAGUUAAUAUUACUGGGGUAGUACUAUACCACUAGUCUCGACCAGAGUAGUCCUUCGUUUGUUCUAUUAACAAACUACUUUAGACCGUUGAAUACCUUCCGAGUAGAGUUCAAUGGUUGUUUAUCCAUUGUCUCCGUCAGUAAGAAAGAUAUAAAACUCAUUAGUUACUAGUAGUCCCUUUUUUUAUGAGCUAUCCAACGGUUUUACUAAUAAUUACAACCUUCUGAACACUUGAACACACCAGAAGAACCUAUUUCCAAUAACACUAUGUUUAAUCUAUCCGCCGAUUAAAAAGUGGACUUCAAAAGCGUUUUAGUUUGACUUACUUAUUCGUCUACUGUAUUACACACAACAAAACGAACCUUAAACACAUGCUUCUACCGUCUACUAUCGUUUUUCACUACCUAGACCUUCUUCUUUUGUCGUCGCUCCGAUUAUGUGUCAAAAUUAUAACAGUAAUCUUCACUCCCUUUUUUAGUGUCCAUGAGUCCAUCAUACUAAAACAACGACCAAGAACGUAAUAGACAAAUCGUGUCUCCUACAUCCUAAACAUUUUACCAGUACGAAGGAUUGAACAUAGACACUGUGAGAGAGGUGGAUUAGACGAUAUCUAGGAUUGAGAAAGAGAUAAUCUAAUAAAUAAAGUAUCCUUUACGGUUCGACUAACAACGGUAAGGGGCAUCUAUAUUUAUCUCCUCUAUACUGAGAACCAAUAAAACUUAGCGUUUUCGACUGGAGACCAAGAUAGACAGCAUCACGAGUAACAGGCGUUACGUGUUAUAGUUAUUAUCACAUGAGUAAAUUAUGAAAAAAACAGGCACCUUUAAAAGUCAAAACGCAAAUCUUCAACUAGAAAAACACUAGAUACUGUAUUUCAUAUAAUAAAUAAAUCAAAACAUAAAGACCAAUAAUGUAACCGUUACAGGACAACAUACUUCUGAGACCAAACCCAUGUCAAAAUGGGAAGCUUCUUAUAAUCGAACGACUUUCGAAUAACAACUUGGGUAACCGUGUAACUUUCUACAGGAAUGAAGUGUAAGUUCCUUUCUAUCAAACAACUACGCAACGACGAAAUUCCUUUGUGAUCCCCCUAAGCUUGAAGACUAACCACUCGAUGUGUUGUACGGUAGCACCAGUUAAAAAGUGGUAUUUACAAAACAAGACACUAUUCGACGAUAUUUUCGCUUUAUUAAGUAAUAGAAGCAUUCAGUAGUAUCGUAAAUCUCUCAUCAGUAUAGACGCGAAGACGUCUUCAUUUCCACCUCCCUACUCCUUCGAAAGACAUGACAAAUAUCGGUACCACUAAAAACGUAAUACGACAAAAUACGCACAUAGUUCAUGCCUUAGACAGGCUACAUUUCAAGAGUUC